CAGAGGGUGCAAGCGUUAAUCGGAAUUACUGGGCGUAAAGCGCGCGUAGGUGGUUUGUUAAGUUGAAUGUGAAAUCCCCGGGCUCAACCUGGGAACUGCAUCCAAAACUGGCAAGCUAGAGUAGGGCAGAGGGUGGUGGAAUUUCCUGUGUAGCGGUGAAAUGCGUAGAUAUAGGAAGGAACACCAGUGGCGAAGGCGACCACCUGGGCUCAUACUGACACUGAGGUGCGAAAGCGUGGGGAGCAAACAGGAUU
RNAcentral lists this ribosomal RNA (254 nucleotides) under uncultured bacterium. RNAcentral's name for it is "partial 16S ribosomal RNA". It matches the Rfam family "Bacterial small subunit ribosomal RNA", at positions 526 to 779 of the family's 1533-position model. The record is from RNAcentral.